UAAUUGAAGAGUUUGAUCAUGGCUCAGAUUGAACGCUGGCGGCAGGCCUAACACAUGCAAGUCGAGCGGUAACAGGAGAAAGCUUGCUUUCUUGCUGACGAGCGGCGGACGGGUGAGUAAUGUAUGGGGAUCUGCCCGAUAGAGGGGGAUAACUACUGGAAACGGUGGCUAAUACCGCAUAAUGUCUACGGACCAAAGUAGGGGCUCUUCGGACCUUGCACUAUCGGAUGAACCCAUAUGGGAUUAGCUAGUAGGUGGGGUAAAGGCU
Molecule: ribosomal RNA, 268 nt
Filed under: Proteus mirabilis
Lineage: Bacteria; Pseudomonadati; Pseudomonadota; Gammaproteobacteria; Enterobacterales; Morganellaceae
Description: partial 16S ribosomal RNA
Rfam family: Bacterial small subunit ribosomal RNA
Source: RNAcentral